UACGGAGGGAGCUAGCGUUGUUCGGAAUUACUGGGCGUAAAGCGCACGUAGGCGGCUUUUUAAGUCAGGGGUGAAAUCCCGGGGCUCAACCCCGGAACUGCCCUUGAAACUGGAGAGCUAGAAUCUUGGAGAGGCGAGUGGAAUUCCGAGUGUAGAGGUGAAAUUCGUAGAUAUUCGGAAGAACAUCAGUGGCGAAGGCGACUCGCUGGACAAGUAUUGACGCUGAGGUGCGAAAGCGUGGGGAGCAAACAGG
This 253-nucleotide ribosomal RNA is filed under the name uncultured bacterium. Its description in RNAcentral is "partial 16S ribosomal RNA". It matches the Rfam family "Bacterial small subunit ribosomal RNA", at positions 524 to 776 of the family's 1533-position model. The record is from RNAcentral.